UUUAAGGGAAUGGCAAAGAGAAGAAAUCUGAACUUUCUAUCAUCCUGCUGGGACCCUUCUCAGCUCAGCUUACUUGAUAGUUGAGGAGUCAGUCUCUGGCCUGAUUGAGAUAUCACCUCUGGAACUGAUAAACUAAUUGAGAAAAGGAGGGAAGCAUUACUCAGCUCAAAUCCUACCUUUUGCAAGAUGCCUUUCCUGGUCUAUUCCAGCUUCUCCCAGUACCUUCUCUCUGAGAUAAUUUCCUGUUUACAAGGUAAAUAACUUGUAUGAAUAUACUUGCUUGCAUUUUAUCUCCACUAAAAUGUGUGUGCUGGGUCUGCGUUUUUGCUUUUCUUUGUUUUCUCAGAAUUUAGCACAUUUUAAGGCUUUAAUAAAUGCUAGUUGACUAACUGAUAAGGUGUUCUGAUCUCAGGUGCUAGGUAUCAUCCCUUCCUGGCAGGGAGGAAUCUCCACAUUGAGAUAUACCAAAAAAUGGAGUGCUAUAUUGAGACAUGAAAAAAUCCAGAUAAUUGAGUGACCAAAUUAUAUUGAGGUUCCUGGCUCAAGGGUUUUCCUAUCUUGAUAAAUGGUAUCACUAUCUUAAGCCCUUUCAGUCUGUGUAAACAUAAUCACCACAUAGAUUUACUGGAGCAAGGAGUAAGCAUUCCUAUUAUGAGGUAGGGUUAGAUCUCACCUCACCCCCAGUUUUCUCUCUAAGGGAAUUUUCUGGAAAUGUUCCAGUGAGACUAUUUGUAUGGGGCAGGCAGAACUUCCUCCAACUCCCCACCCCCCACUCUCCACAGGACUCAGAGAUGUCUGACUAUAUGCAUAAUUUAGAAACCCUCCUCUCUUCCCUGGUGGCCAGUGAACCUGGGGAGGUAAGGGCAGUAGGUGGAUAGGAUAUUAUCUUCCAGCACCUCCUUUCUGUGACAGUGCCUUCUCCCCAGACCUUUGGAGAAAGAUAGGAAAGCUGGUUCCUGCACCCUCAGCCAACAAGCACUCAGGAGUCCUUCCAGGAGGGGUGCUGGUGGGCUUACCAGACCCAAAAAAGAAUAAUUAGUAUGAAAGUGUUUGGGGGGGGGGGAUGAGUCAGAGAUGGGAAGGAUUGGAUAAUGGUGUAAGAUUUCUUUGCAUUUGGGGAGAAAAAAAUAUUGAGAAAAGCUGCAUUGCAAAACUCCUGUGAAUAAUUUCCUAAUGAAUUGUAGAA
Monodelphis domestica (gray short-tailed opossum) is the source of this 1186-nucleotide long non-coding RNA. RefSeq lists it as uncharacterized. The record is from RefSeq and is a predicted model, not a curated record. NCBI's taxonomy places the organism in Eukaryota, Metazoa, Chordata, Mammalia, Didelphimorphia, Didelphidae.